GAAAUGUGAUAAGUAGUGUGAAUUGCAGAAUUCAGUGAAUCAUCGAAUCUUUGAACGCACAUUGCGCCCCUUGGUAUUCCAUGGGGCAUGCCUGUUCGAGCGUCAUUUGUACCCUCAAGCUCUGCUUGGUGUUGGGUGUUUGUCCCGUCUCCGCGCGUGGACUCGCCCCAAAGUGAUUGGCAGCCGGCGUACUGGUCCCGGAGCGCAGCACAUGUCGCGCAAACGAGUGCCUUGGUACGGCGGCGUCCAUAAGCCCCUCUCUCACGCUCUUGACCUCGGAUCAGGUAGGGAUACCCGCUGAACUUAAGC
RNAcentral lists this unclassified non-coding RNA (309 nucleotides) under plant metagenome. RNAcentral's name for it is "partial contains 5.8S ribosomal RNA, internal transcribed spacer 2, and large subunit ribosomal RNA". The stretch from base 1 to 105 matches the Rfam family "5.8S ribosomal RNA", at positions 50 to 154 of the family's 154-position model. The record is from RNAcentral.